This 447-nucleotide ribosomal RNA is filed under the name uncultured Comamonas sp. RNAcentral's name for it is "bacterial SSU rRNA". It matches the Rfam family "Bacterial small subunit ribosomal RNA", at positions 933 to 1382 of the family's 1533-position model. The record is from RNAcentral. Lineage: Bacteria; Pseudomonadati; Pseudomonadota; Betaproteobacteria; Burkholderiales; Comamonadaceae.
UGGAUGAUGUGUUUAAUUCGAUGCAACGCGAAAAACCUUACCCACCUUUGACAUGGCAGGAAUCCUGAAGAGAUUUGGGAGUGCUCGAAAGAGAACCUGCACACAGGUGCUGCAUGGCUGUCGUCAGCUCGUGUCGUGAGAUGUUGGGUUAAAGUCCCCGCAACGAGCGCAACCCUUGCCAUUAGUUGCUACGAAAAGGGCACUCUAAUGAGACUGCCGGUGACAAACCGGAGGAAGGUGGGGAUGACGUCAAGUCCUCAUGGCCCUUAUAGGUGGGGCUACACACGUCAUACAAUGGCUGGUACAAAGGGUUGCCAACCCGCGAGGGGGAGCCAAUCCCAUAAAGCCAGUCGUAGUCCGGAUCGUAGUCUGCAACUCGACUACGUGAAGUCGGAAUCGCUAGUAAUCGUGGAUCAGAAUGUCACGGUGAAUACGUUCCCGGGUCUU